Nicotiana attenuata is the source of this 96-nucleotide microRNA precursor. It matches the Rfam family "MIR6152 microRNA precursor family". Lineage: Eukaryota; Viridiplantae; Streptophyta; Magnoliopsida; Solanales; Solanaceae. The record is from Rfam.
UGGACAAAUUAUUGUAUUCGAUUGUAUUCACGGUGUGAAACAGGGGAUUACACUGCUUUUAAACGGAAAGUGAAUCAAUUAACAUAAUAGACUCCU